Molecule: transfer RNA, 77 nt
Filed under: Alphaproteobacteria bacterium
Lineage: Bacteria; Pseudomonadati; Pseudomonadota; Alphaproteobacteria
Also listed under: 1 other name
Description: tRNA-Arg
Rfam family: tRNA
About the family: Transfer RNA (tRNA) molecules are approximately 80 nucleotides in length. Their secondary structure includes four short double-helical elements and three loops (D, anti-codon, and T loops).
Source: RNAcentral
GUCCCCGUAGCUCAGCCGGAUAGAGCAAGCGUUUCCUAAACGCUAGGUCGUAGGUUCGAAUCCUAUCGGGGACGCCA